Molecule: ribosomal RNA, 253 nt
Filed under: uncultured bacterium
Lineage: Bacteria
Description: partial 16S ribosomal RNA
Rfam family: Bacterial small subunit ribosomal RNA
Source: RNAcentral
UACGUAGGGGGCGAGCGUUGUCCGGAUUCAUUGGGCGUAAAGCGCUUUAAGGCGGUUCGCUAAGUCGGGUGUGAAACCUCCAGGCUCAACCUGGAGACGCCACUCGAUACUGGAAAGCUCGAGUCCGGGAGAGGUGAGUGGAACUGCGAGUGUAGAGGUGAAAUUCGUAGAUAUUCGCAAGAACACCAGUGGCGAAGGCGGCUCACUGGCCCGGUACUGACGCUGAGGUGCGAAAGCGUGGGGAGCAAACAGG